Small nucleolar RNA from Molossus molossus (Pallas's mastiff bat), 82 nucleotides. RefSeq annotates it as small nucleolar RNA SNORD19B. The record is from RefSeq and is a predicted model, not a curated record. NCBI's taxonomy places the organism in Eukaryota, Metazoa, Chordata, Mammalia, Chiroptera, Molossidae. The transcript has a single exon.
GGAUGGCUGAAAUAUGAUGAGUAUACAAAGUCUUGAUUUCAAAAUGAGAACAUAUAAGAUCCAACUCUGAUUUCAUCCAGAG